UGGAACUAGCGCUGCCCCUCCCUCUC
RNAcentral lists this non-coding RNA (26 nucleotides) under Rattus norvegicus (Norway rat). The record is from RNAcentral. Lineage: Eukaryota; Metazoa; Chordata; Mammalia; Rodentia; Muridae.